UACGAAGGGGGCUAGCGUUGCUCGGAAUCACUGGGCGUAAAGCGCACGUAGGCGGAUCUUUAAGUCAGGGGUGAAAUCCCAAGGCUCAACCUUGGAACUGCCUUUGAUACUGGGGAUCUCGAGUCCGGAAGAGGUGAGUGGAACUGCGAGUGUAGAGGUGAAAUUCGUAGAUAUUCGGAAGAACACCAGUGGCGAAGGCGGCUCACUGGACCGGUACUGACGCUGAGGUGCGAAAGCGUGGGGAGCAAACAGG
This 253-nucleotide ribosomal RNA is filed under the name uncultured bacterium. RNAcentral's name for it is "partial 16S ribosomal RNA". It matches the Rfam family "Bacterial small subunit ribosomal RNA", at positions 524 to 776 of the family's 1533-position model. The record is from RNAcentral.